UGAGGAAUAUUGGUCAAUGGGUGCAAGCCUGAACCAGCCAUCCCGCGUGAAGGACGACUGCCCUAUGGGUUGUAAACUUCUUUUGUAUAGGGAUAAACCUACCCUCGUGAGGGUAGCUGAAGGUACUAUACGAAUAAGCACCGGCUAACUCCGUGCUAGCAGCCGCGGUAAUACGGAGGGUGCAAGCGUUAUCCGGAUUUAUUGGGUUUAAAGGGUCCGUAGGCGGACUUAUAAGUCAGUGGUGAAAGCCUGUCGCUUAACGAUAGAACUGCCAUUGAUACUGUAAGUCUUGAGUAUAUUUGAGGUAGCUGGAAUAAGUAGUGUAGCGGUGAAAUGCAUAGAUAUUACUUAGAACACCAAUUGCGAAGGCAGGUUACCAAGAUAUAACUGACGCUGAGGGACGAAAGCGUGGGGAGCGAACA
RNAcentral lists this ribosomal RNA (422 nucleotides) under uncultured bacterium. RNAcentral's name for it is "partial 16S ribosomal RNA". It matches the Rfam family "Bacterial small subunit ribosomal RNA", at positions 355 to 774 of the family's 1533-position model. The record is from RNAcentral.